Long non-coding RNA from Mobula hypostoma (lesser devil ray), 554 nucleotides. RefSeq lists it as uncharacterized. The transcript has 3 exons. Lineage: Eukaryota; Metazoa; Chordata; Chondrichthyes; Myliobatiformes; Myliobatidae. The record is from RefSeq and is a predicted model, not a curated record.
GGAAGAGCAGGGAAGAUCAACAGGAGGGAAGCAGGCAAAGGAUUUUAUAAGGAACUGGGGAGAUACGAGAAGCUCUGCAGAGAAUAAUGGAAAAGAACGGCAAAACAAGACAUACACAGCAAGUCCAAGAAACACAACAGAAUCAAUGAAAGGCAGCAUCCAACAGGACGAACAAACUGAUGUGCAAAAAGACAACAAACUAUGCGAAUACAAAAGAGGGAAAAAAACGUAACAAAUACAAAGCAAUAAAUAUCAAAAACAUCAGAUGAAGAAUCCUUGAGAGUCCAAAAGUUGUGAGAACAGUUCAGUGAUAUGGGUGUAAAAAGGUACCCGAAAAAGUAUCACAUUUGUGUGAAGUCACCUAAGCUGCAAAGAAACAGUAUAAAUGAAGAGAAUAGUCCAGAUUUCUUUGGAAUGGUCCAGGAACUUCAAUAAGAAUGACAUAAAGAUGGGACACUAGAAUCCAUUCCUCCGCCUUCGAUUUCUGCAACAGAUGAAUGAUUAAUCUGUGGCUCCUGUGUAUGCCUUUCUAGUUUAUAGGAACUAUACCUUUG